CCUACGGGGGCUGCAGUGGGGAAUAUUGGACAAUGGGCGAAAGCCUGAUCCAGCCAUGCCGCGUGUGUGAAGAAGGCCUUCGGGUUGUAAAGCACUUUCAGUGGGGAAGAAAGCCUUGGGGCUAAUACCCUCGAGGAAGGACAUCACCCACAGAAGAAGCACCGGCUAACUCCGUGCCAGCAGCCGCGGUAAUACGGAGGGUGCGAGCGUUAAUCGGAAUUACUGGGCGUAAAGCGCGCGUAGGCGGUCUGAUAAGCCGGUUGUGAAAGCCCCGGGCUCAACCUGGGAACGGCAUCCGGAACUGUCAGGCUAGAGUGCAGGAGAGGAAGGUAGAAUUCCCGGUGUAGCGGUGAAAUGCGUAGAGAUCGGGAGGAAUACCAGUGGCGAAGGUGGCCUUCUGGACUGACACUGACGCUGAGGUGCGAAAGCGUGGGUAGCAAACAGGAUUAGAUACCCUAGUAGUC
This 464-nucleotide ribosomal RNA is filed under the name Vreelandella stevensii. RNAcentral's name for it is "partial 16S ribosomal RNA". It matches the Rfam family "Bacterial small subunit ribosomal RNA", at positions 338 to 795 of the family's 1533-position model. The record is from RNAcentral. Lineage: Bacteria; Pseudomonadati; Pseudomonadota; Gammaproteobacteria; Oceanospirillales; Halomonadaceae.